Molecule: long non-coding RNA, 4644 nt
Filed under: Sus scrofa (pig)
Lineage: Eukaryota; Metazoa; Chordata; Mammalia; Artiodactyla; Suidae
Description: lncRNA (ENSSSCG00035046252.1)
Source: RNAcentral
GUCACAUCCAUGGCAUAUGGAGGUUCCCAGGCUAGGGGCCAAAUCAGAGCUGUAGCUGCUGACCUAUUCCACAGCCACAGCAACACCAUAUCCUUAACCCACUGAGCAAGGCCAGGGAUCACACCUGCAUCCUCAUGGAUAUUAGUUGGAUUAGUUACACUGAACCAAAUGGGAACUCUCAUGCCCAGUAUUUUAAAUCAUAUUCUUUGCUCUGACUUUGGUCAAGGCCCUUCCCCUCCUUGCUCUCUCUAGUCUUACCAACCUUAUUUCCCUCCACUCCCAUCACACAUCUUCUUCUGUGGUCAGAUGUUUCUACUGUCUUUCUUCAUUUGAAUUCUCUCUUUUGUUCCCCUCUACCUCUUCCUUUCUUCUUUUCUCCCUUCUUUCAUCAACAAAUAAUUUCUGAAUGCCCACUACAUGCUAGUCUCUGGACAUAGAACUGAACAAACUAAGACACAAUUCCUGCCCCAGGGAGUUUAUAGUUUAGGUUAAAAUUUCCCGUAACAGAUUAUGUUCCCCAUAACAGAUUAUGCUCUUUUAUGCCUCUGAGUUUUGUUUUAGUUUGUUUUCAUCCAGCCAUCUACACCAUGCUCAUCAUCUAAGGCCUAACUUGUGUUUGACUUCUCCUUCAGGCACAUUCUCUGAACAUGUCAAUGCACUUCUAGUCCUAAAGGCCUUUAGUGCACAGUUGUCACUGCAUAGUUUAGCUUCUGUUUUUUCUCAUGAUAUGCUAAUGGUGUUAUAGUCUUUUUUUUAAAAUUUGAAUUUAAUUAAUUUAUAUUAUUAUUUUUUCUUUUUAGGGCUACACAUGCAGCAUAUGGAAGUUCCCAGGCUAGGGGUCAAAAUCGGAGCUGCAGUCGUCAGUCUAUGCCACAGUCACAGUAACACUGGAUCUGAGCUGUGUCUGUGAUGUACACCACAGCUCAUGGCAAUGCUGGAUCCUUAACCCACUGAGCGAAAGCCAGGAAUUGAACCACUAGUGGGAUACUAGUUGGGUUAAAAACCCACUGAGCCACAAUGGGUACUCCCUUUUACAUUCUUGAGAACAAGAAAUAUGUCUUAUCUGUAUACUGAUGUCCAUAUACAUACAUAGGCUGUAUAUGGACCUCUGCUCCUCUCUCUGUGAGUAUAAAACCCUUGACACCCCAAACUUUCAAAAUUCCCAAAUUUAUAAAAGUAGACUUGUUUUAAAUAAGGCUCCUGACCUUUUCCAGAUUUGUAUUUUUAUCCAGAGCUAAGAGUAAUCUUUGGGUACUCUCAUACACAAUCAAAAAGCUUUUCAAUGUUCACUGAAGGUAUCUCUAACCCAUAGGGCCAUUUUCCACGUGUUAACAAAAUUCUGCAGCUUCAGGUUCAUUGCCACAGGCUCAAAUAAAGGAGCGAAUGACAGAGGAGGCAGAACUGAGUGGAUAACUGCUGGAGUUUCAGAGUAAGACAGAAAUGGGUUCAAAUCCCUGAUCAGGGAGCCUGUGUUCUCUCCACUCACAUUAAGUCUGGUACCUCAGUCAUACCACCUAGCUUUGUGGUCUCAAUUGCGUUUUCUAGCUCUGUGGUCCUCAAUCAUCUUGAGUAAAUUUCUUAAAUUCUUCUAAUCUCAGUUUUCUCAUUUAUAAAAUGGGGAUCAUGCUUAAAUGAGCUAAUGUCUAGAAAGUCCCUGGUACAGUACCUGAGAUGUGGUCAAUUAAGAAAAGAACACUAAUGCUAUAUUUUUUAGGAUCACUAGCUAAGCUAACUAAGUGUCUCCCAAUCACCAGUAUCAUGGGGUUUAAUAUUCAAAUUUGAGACUUAGCAAAAUACAAAUUGCCAAUGGCCAUGCAUCUCCUAGACUGCUGUGAACACAAAGUCUAUGAGUGCUAGAAGCUUAGUGAGCAUUUGAGAUCCAACACCAAGCUUAGUGGCCUGGUGUUGGAUCUCCAGAGAGGCUGAGCAUCUGAUUUACUGAUUGAUGGUGGAGGAUGGUUAGGUGGGGAGGGUUAGAGUAGAGAGGACAGACAGACAGCUCAGGGCCCGCCGAGCCACCUGCAUCUACUUUCCAAGUUCAUCCUGGAUUGGAGCAUAACUUGAUCGGCUCUGUGAGGAAGCAGCACAUGGCUUCUCGAAAGAUUUUAUGAAUGGGGAUGAGAAAUGGAGGCAAGCCAAAGAUAGCAGCUGGGCUAUUCUCUCUGACCAAGCAAGAUUAAAAAACAUCUUUUAUGGAAUAGGUUUUGGGUUUAUGUGACAUUCUGUUCUCUGGGGACAGUCUCACUUCCACCUCUGGCCCUUACUCUCCUUUGUAAGCCCUGGGAGACAGGCCUGUCCCAGGCACAGCCCCUAAGGGUGCGGGCAGAGCAAAAGUCUGCUCCUCCCCAACCCCUACCAGGAGAUUCAGGCCCCACCCAGCAGGACCCAAGGCAGACAGAGUUAAGGUGUGUGCCUGCGGCUUGGUCAUUGGCUCCAGGAUCUGAACAAAGCCCCAGCAGUGACAGCGGUCACAGGAAACCAGAUUCUGCCAAGAGCCAGUUACAGGGCUACUGUAUAUACCCAUAUGCCAUAAAUCUGUGGAAGGAUGAAGGAGGCUGCAUGUGGCCGCACAGAAGCACAUCUCUGAGCAUCAGAAUCGCUAUCAGCCAGGGGAAGGCCUGGAGUGAGGGCGGCACAGGCUGGGUACCUGUGAUGCAGGUUGAAGAAAAGAAAAGGAAGACCAGAAUUAGGGAAGCUACCCUGCAAUGAGGACUUAUUGCUUGUUUGUUUGUUUUUGUUUAAACCCUCAGCACCCAGUUUGUUCUCACUUAUUAUCUUUUGCUUUUAGAGACCCCCUCAACACCCCUCCAAUACCUUGAGAAUAGAUUUGUGUGGUAAAGUCCAAACAUCAAUUUUCAUGCGCUCUCUUCUUUCCUUACUAAUAUAUCCCAUGGAAUACCCAUAAGUUUGUCACUUUUCUUCUCAGCCGAGGGCUGGCCUGUGCACAUGUCCAGCAGGGGGUUGGCAGAGGGGGCCUGCGGAGUGGAGGCUGGGCUUGGGCGGCUGCCGCGUUCCGACCUCUCCCCACUAGCCAGAUGCCUCCUCACAGCUUUGCACAUAGAUGCCUUUGAAGCAGAAAAGAAAUCCCACCCUUCCUUUGAGGCCCCUUUUGUAAUAUUACUUUCCUCUGCUGGUUGGAUUAGUUAAAAUUUCAUCAGAUUCUCUUAAGAAAAAAAUUUCCCUGUUGUCACAUCAUGAAAAGAGAGGAUAUUCUUGAAGAUGUUUGCCACCCUCAAGAAAUAAGAGAGAAUCUGAUCUGCUCUGAUUUGGGGAACUUAAUAUCUCUUGCAAGCUAAAGCUGCUCAGAUGAAAUGUUUUGAAGCAAGAAAAAAGAAAAGGCACGCGCGUGUGUGUGUGUGUGUGUGUCUGUGUGUGUGUGUGUGUAUGCUUUGUGGUUUUAUUAAAAGGAAAAAAAUAAGACCCCUUCUCCUACACCCACUAGUCCAGUGUUCUGUGUUUUCUGGGGCACAAGAGUGGGCAGGUUUACAGACUCUGGCAAAAAAUACACAUUUCAAUAACUAGCUCAAAACAAUAUCAGCCAGAAUGAGAUUAUGAGACCAGAACAGUAGGGGGCAGUCUGACACAAUAGAAAAAAGGUUGCUAGGCUAAUAAAACAUCAGAGACAAGGCUCUUUGAGACAACAAAGACAAAAAUUGUGCUAAGAGCUGUAAAUCUUGCAUGCUAAAUUCCCAUGCAAGAGACAGUCGUGGUUGUAUCAUAAUUAAACAUGCUACUAAAACAUAAAUCCCUUACUGAUAACUUCCUCUUAGUAGCCUCAUUUCCCAUGGAGUGAACCAGACGCUGGUCACCCAUUAACAUUAAUUGGAAGGAUUUCUGGUGUCUUCAGCACAGAAUAGAUAUUGGAAACAACAAAAGAAAAUCACUGUCUCUGUCUUUGCAUGGAGUUCCUGCUGUGCCUCUGUCUUUACAUGACUGUUUUCUCCUCCACCUCCUCCUCUUCCUCCCUUUUUCCCUCCCUGUCCUCCUUCUUUCUGGUUGCACUUGCAGCAUUUGGAUGUUUCCGAGCCAGGUGUCAAAUUGGAGCUGCAGCUGGGGUCUAUGCCACAGCCACAGCAACACCAGAUCCGAGUUGCAUCUGUGACUUACACCACAGCUUGCGGCAAUGCUGGAUCCUUAACCCGCUGAGCAAGACCAGAGGUGGAACCUGUAACUUCACAGAGACAGUGUCGGGGUCCUUAACCUACUGAGCCACAAUGGGAACUCCUACAUGGCUGUCUUAUAAGGACACCAGAUAUAUUCGAUUAGGGGCCCACUCUACUCCAAUAUGUCCUCAUCUUAACUAAUUAUAUACGCAAGGACGCUACUGCCAAAUAAGGUCACACUGUAAAGUACUGGGGAUCAAACUGUGUCUACCUUUGUGGAGGGACUCAAUUGAGUCCCAAAACAAGUAUUUAGAAACUUUCCCUCUGUAUUUCUUAUCUAUUGCUGCAUGACAGGUUACCCCAAGCCUAAUCAAAACUCCUCCAGGGGAAGAUUCACUGCCAAGUUCAUGCAUAUGGCUAUUAGAAUGCCUCCAGUCUUUACUGGCUAUUGGCUGGAGAGGUCAGUCCUUGUCAUGUGGGCCCCUCCAGAGGGCUCAUCCCAGUUUGGCAGCUGGCUACCCCUAGUGAGGACCCUGAGGGA